Molecule: ribosomal RNA, 433 nt
Filed under: uncultured bacterium
Lineage: Bacteria
Description: partial 16S ribosomal RNA
Rfam family: Bacterial small subunit ribosomal RNA
Source: RNAcentral
AACGAACGCUGGCGGCAUGCCUAACACAUGCAAGUCGAACGAGACCUUCGGGUCUAGUGGCGCACGGGUGCGUAACGCGUGGGAACCUGCCCUUCGGUUCGGAAUAACUCCCCGAAAGGGGUGCUAAUACCGGAUAAUGUCUUCGGACCAAAGCUUUAUCGCCUUUGGAUGGGCCCGCGUUGGAUUAGCUAGUUGGUAGGGUAAAAGCCUACCAAGGCGACGAUCCAUAGCUGGUCUGAGAGGAUGAUCAGCCACACUGGGACUGAGACACGGCCCAGACUCCUACGGGAGGCAGCAGUGGGGAAUAUUGGACAAUGGGCGAAAGCCUGAUCCAGCAAUGCCGCGUGAGUGAUGAAGGCCUUAGGGUUGUAAAGCUCUUUUACCCGGGAUGAUAAUGACAGUACCGGGAGAAUAAGCUCCGGCUAACUCCGUG